This 886-nucleotide ribosomal RNA is filed under the name Trichoderma sp. DV-2018c. Its description in RNAcentral is "LSU rRNA". It matches the Rfam family "Eukaryotic large subunit ribosomal RNA", at positions 41 to 956 of the family's 3401-position model. Lineage: Eukaryota; Fungi; Ascomycota; Sordariomycetes; Hypocreales; Hypocreaceae. The record is from RNAcentral.
UAUCAAUAAGCGGAGGAAAAGAAACCAACAGGGAUUGCCCCAGUAACGGCGAGUGAAGCGGCAACAGCUCAAAUUUGAAAUCUGGCCCCUCGGGGUCCGAGUUGUAAUUUGUAGAGGAUGCUUUUGGUGAGGUGCCGCCCGAGUUCCCUGGAACGGGACGCCACAGAGGGUGAGAGCCCCGUCUGGCUGGCCGCCGAGCCUCUGUAAAGCUCCUUCGACGAGUCGAGUAGUUUGGGAAUGCUGCUCAAAAUGGGAGGUAUAUGUCUUCUAAAGCUAAAUAUUGGCCAGAGACCGAUAGCGCACAAGUAGAGUGAUCGAAAGAUGAAAAGCACCUUGAAAAGAGGGUUAAAUAGUACGUGAAAUUGUUGAAAGGGAAGCGCUUGUGACCAGACUUGGGCGCGGCGGAUCAUCCGGGGUUCUCUCCGGUGCACUUCGCCGCGUCUGGGCCAGCAUCAGUUCGUCGCGGGGGAAAAAGGCUUCGGGAACGUGGCUCCUCCGGGAGUGUUAUAGCCCGUUGCAUAAUACCCUGCGGUGGACUGAGGACCGCGCAUCUGCAAGGAUGCUGGCGUAAUGGUCACCAGCGACCCGUCUUGAAACACGGACCAAGGAGUCGUCUUCGUAUGCGAGUGUUCGGGUGUCAAACCCCUACGCGUAAUGAAAGUGAACGCAGGUGAGAGCUUCGGCGCAUCAUCGACCGAUCCUGAUGUUCUCGGAUGGAUUUGAGUAAGAGCAUACGGGGCCGGACCCGAAAGAAGGUGAACUAUGCCUGUAUAGGGUGAAGCCAGAGGAAACUCUGGUGGAGGCUCGCAGCGGUUCUGACGUGCAAAUCGAUCGUCAAAUAUGGGCAUGGGGGCGAAAGACUAAUCGAACCUUCUAGUAGCUGGUU